This 514-nucleotide ribosomal RNA is filed under the name Arenga disticha. RNAcentral's name for it is "eukaryotic LSU rRNA". The stretch from base 349 to 514 matches the Rfam family "Eukaryotic large subunit ribosomal RNA", at positions 1 to 165 of the family's 3401-position model. Lineage: Eukaryota; Viridiplantae; Streptophyta; Magnoliopsida; Arecales; Arecaceae. The record is from RNAcentral.
UGCAGAAUCCCGCGAACCAUCGAUUCUUUGAACGCAAGUUGCGCCCGAGGCCAUCCGGCCCAGGGUACGCCUGCCUGAGCGUCGAUCCAUGUGACGCUCCGCUCUGCCUGGGACACGAUGUGCGUGCAGGGAGGCGGAUGCGGAGAUUGGGCCCCCGCGCCCCGACCCCCUCGGUGCGGCGGUCCGAAGAGCACUCCAAGUGAUGCGGCCGAACAUGGCGGAUGGUGGAUGCGCCCGCGUUGCGGGUAUCAUGAAGCCGGUCGGCUCCUCGGGGCUGGGAUGUCACUCGUUGUCCGCACCGCGCAUCUUUUCCCCGGCCAGCAGGUCGGGGCGGCGCCCCUCGGAUCGCGGCCCCAGGUCAGGUGGGGCCACCUGCUGAGCUUAAGCAUAUCAAUAAGCGGAGGAGAAGAAACUUACGAGGAUUCCCUUAGUAGCAGCGAGCGAACCGGGAUCGGUCCAGCUUGAGAAUCGGGCGGGCCUUGCCUCCCGAAUUGUAGUUAAAAAAAAAACGUCC